Molecule: unclassified non-coding RNA, 287 nt
Filed under: rhizosphere metagenome
Description: partial ribosomal RNA internal transcribed spacer region
Source: RNAcentral
GUAGGUGAACCUGCGGAGGGAUCAUUAACACGUGUAAAAAACGUAUUUUCUAUACCUCAACAACCAAUACCGUGAACUAUGUUUGGUAUAUAUAUAUAGUAAAUUUAUUUUUACUAUAUAUUAUAUACCCUUUUUUACAAAACCCUUUUCCAACUUUAUUUUUUUCUAUCAAUCUUUUAUUGUUUUUUUUGUUUUAUAUUGUCAUGAUAUAAACUGAAAAAAGAAUAAAAAAGCAUGUAAAAAAAAUACAAAAAGCACAACUCUUAGCAACGGAUAUCUUGGUUCUC